Molecule: long non-coding RNA, 646 nt
Filed under: Rattus norvegicus (Norway rat)
Lineage: Eukaryota; Metazoa; Chordata; Mammalia; Rodentia; Muridae
Description: long non-coding RNA NONRATT016681
Source: RNAcentral
GUUUUCUCAAGAUUCUUCCAUGGAUGGCCCUGGGAACGACGGCCAUACUAGUAGAACUGACUCUAGUUCAUUUGCCAGGGCGUCACUGUAUGAAACAGACACGCAUUUGAAAAAGCGAAUUUUAGCCUAGUAGGGACAGUUUGGGAUUGCUGAAAACAAAGGGUGGACCUCAAAGGACUCAUCGAAACGAGCGUAGCAGCUCCCCCGGGCUCCUCGGCUAGUCAGUGGACCUUUGGGUAGAGGUGCGUGGAAACCGACUGACCUCGGUGAGAAAGCUCGGCGGCAUCCUCGCAUGAGUUUUCCUAGGAUCUAAUUUCUGCUUGAUCUGGAUACUGUGUCUCUAUCAACGAAACAAGUGACUGUACUCAGAAACUUUCCCUUCCACGCACAUUCCUGGGUCCGCUGCUUUCGAUUAUGUCACGCUGGUUACUGGAACUUCUUUUGCUGCGGUUUUUUCCUAACAGGAGCUCGGGGCCCUUCGGCGCAGCGUUCUCCCCUCUCAUCUCUAAAUUUCUUUCUCCACUCUUUUGUCCUUUUAGCGUCAGGGCUUUCCAAAGACUGGCACCUCUAAGUUUUACUUGGGAAUCUGAAUUCUCUGAGGGACUACGGCGCCAUAAUUUAAGAAAAUUAAAAAUAAAAAAUAAAG